RNAcentral lists this non-coding RNA (27 nucleotides) under Mus musculus (house mouse). The record is from RNAcentral. Lineage: Eukaryota; Metazoa; Chordata; Mammalia; Rodentia; Muridae.
UGGAAUGAGAAGUUCUUAAAUGCUAAC